This 57-nucleotide non-coding RNA is filed under the name unclassified sequences. The record is from Rfam.
UAUCUUUGCGCCCGAAAAAAAAAAUUACAUAAUAAUCAUUAAAUUAAUAUUGGAAUG